This 484-nucleotide ribosomal RNA is filed under the name uncultured bacterium. RNAcentral describes it as "partial 16S ribosomal RNA". It matches the Rfam family "Bacterial small subunit ribosomal RNA", at positions 28 to 507 of the family's 1533-position model. The record is from RNAcentral.
GUUGAACGCUGGCGGCAGGCCUAACACAUGCAAGUCGAGCGGUAGAGCGAAGCUUGUUUCUUUUUAGUGCGGCGGACGGGUGAGUAAUGCCUAGGAAUCUGCCUGGUCGUUGGGGCUAACGUUAGGUAACGGACCCUAAUACCGCAUCCGUUCUACGGUAGAAAGCCGGGGACCAUCGGGCCUUGCGCUACUAGCUGAGCCUAGGUCGGAUUAGCUAGUUGGUGUGGUAAUGGCUCACCAAGGCGACGAUCCGUAACUGGUCUGAGAGGAUGAUCAGUCACACUGGAACUGAGACACGGUCCAGACUCCUACGGGAGGCAGCAGUAGGGAAUAUUGGACAAUGGGCGAAAGCCUGAUCCAGCCAUGCCGCGUGUGUGAAGAAGGUCUUCGGAUUGUAAAGCACUUUAAGUUGGGAAGAAGAGCAGUGAAUUAAUACGUUGCUAUUUUGACGGUACCGACAGAAAAAGCACCGGCUAACUCUGUG